RNAcentral lists this ribosomal RNA (337 nucleotides) under uncultured Desulfobulbus sp. RNAcentral describes it as "bacterial SSU rRNA". It matches the Rfam family "Bacterial small subunit ribosomal RNA", at positions 1046 to 1382 of the family's 1533-position model. The record is from RNAcentral. Lineage: Bacteria; Pseudomonadati; Thermodesulfobacteriota; Desulfobulbia; Desulfobulbales; Desulfobulbaceae.
UGGCUGUCGUCAGCUCGGUGUCGUGAGAUGUUGGGUUAAGUCCCGGCAACCGAGCGCAACCCUUGCCUUUAGUUGCCAGCAGUUCGGCUGGCACUCUAAAGGGACUGCUGGUGUUAAACCGGAGGAAGGUGGGGAUGACGUCAAGUCCUCAUGGCCUUAUGACCAGGGCUACACACGUACUACAAUGGCCGAUACAAAGGGCAGCGACACUGCGAGGUGAAGCCAAUCCCGUAAAAUCGGUCUCAGUCCGGAUUGGAGUCUGCAACUCGACUCCAUGAAGUUGGAAUCGCUAGUAAUCGUGGAUCAGCAUGCCACGGUGAAUACGUUCCCGGGCCUU